This 497-nucleotide ribosomal RNA is filed under the name uncultured bacterium. RNAcentral's name for it is "partial 16S ribosomal RNA". It matches the Rfam family "Bacterial small subunit ribosomal RNA", at positions 28 to 507 of the family's 1533-position model. The record is from RNAcentral.
GAUGAGCGCUGGCGGCGUGCCUAAUACAUGCAAGUCGAGCGAACAGACGAGGAGCUUGCUCCUCUGACGUUAGCGGCGGACGGGCGAGUAACACGUGGAUAACCUACCUAUAAGACUGGGAUAACUUCGGGAAACCGGAGCUAAUACCGGAUAAUAUAUUGAACCGCAUGGUUCAAUAGUGAAAGACGGUUUUGCUGUCACUUAUAGAUGGAUCCGCGCCGCAUUAGCUAGUUGGUAAGGUAACGGCUUACCAAGGCGACGAUGCGUAGCCGACCUGAGAGGGUGGUCGGCCACACUGGAACUGAGACACGGUCCAGACUCCUACGGGAGGCAGCAGUAGGGAAUCUUCCGCAAUGGGCGAAAGCCUGACGGAGCAACGCCGCGUGAGUGAUGAAGGUCUUCGGAUCGUAAAACUCUGUUAUUAGGGAAGAACAAAUGUGUAAGUAACUAUGCACGUCUUGACGGUACCUAAUCAGAAAGCCACGGCUAACUACGUG